RNAcentral lists this ribosomal RNA (465 nucleotides) under uncultured bacterium. Its description in RNAcentral is "partial 16S ribosomal RNA". It matches the Rfam family "Bacterial small subunit ribosomal RNA", at positions 28 to 507 of the family's 1533-position model. The record is from RNAcentral.
GACGAACGCUGGCGGCGUGCUUAACACAUGCAAGUCGAACGGAAAGGCCCUGCUUGCAGGGUACUCGAGUGGCGAACGGGUGAGUAACACGUGGGUGAUCUGCCCUGCACUUCGGGAUAAGCCUGGGAAACUGGGUCUAAUACCGGAUAGGAGCCAUUUUUAGUGUGAUUGUUGGAAAGUUUUUUCGGUGUAGGAUGAGCUCGCGGCCUAUCAGCUUGUUGGUGGGGUAAUGGCCUACCAAGGCGGCGACGGGUAGCCGGCCUGGGAGGGUGGACGGCCACAUUGGGACUGAGAUACGGCCCAGACUCCUACGGGAGGCAGCAGUGGGGAAUAUUGCACAAUGGGCGCAAGCCUGAUGCAGCGACGCCGCGUGGGGGAUGACGGCCUUCGGGUUGUAAACUCCUUUCGCUAGGGACGAAGCUUUUUGUGACGGUACCUAGAUAAGAAGCACCGGCUAACUACGUG